AAACCAAGCUAGGGGUGCCUGAGAAACCAGGCUGAGAUUACACCCUUAGAACCUGAGUCCGGUUAAUACCGGCGGAGGGAAGCUGUGAUCGAGGAAA
This 97-nucleotide non-coding RNA is filed under the name Lyngbya majuscula. RNAcentral's name for it is "TPP sequence". It matches the Rfam family "TPP riboswitch aptamer (THI element)". Rfam says of the family: Vitamin B(1) in its active form thiamin pyrophosphate (TPP) is an essential coenzyme that is synthesised by coupling of pyrimidine and thiazole moieties in bacteria. The previously detected thiamin-regulatory element, thi box was extended, resulting in a new, highly conserved RNA secondary structure, the THI element, which is widely distributed in eubacteria and also occurs in some archaea. Analysis of operon structures identified a large number of new candidate thiamin-regulated genes, mostly transporters, in various prokaryotic organisms. Lineage: Bacteria; Bacillati; Cyanobacteriota; Cyanophyceae; Oscillatoriales; Microcoleaceae. The record is from RNAcentral. RNAcentral also lists the same sequence under 1 other name.